RNAcentral lists this ribosomal RNA (497 nucleotides) under uncultured bacterium. Its description in RNAcentral is "partial 16S ribosomal RNA". It matches the Rfam family "Bacterial small subunit ribosomal RNA", at positions 28 to 507 of the family's 1533-position model. The record is from RNAcentral.
GAUGAACGCUGGCGGCGUGCCUAAUACAUGCAAGUCGAGCGAACAGACGAGGAGCUUGCUCCUCUGACGUUAGCGGCGGACGGGUGAGUAACACGUGGAUAACCUACCUAUAAGACUGGGAUAACUUCGGGAAACCGGAGCUAAUACCGGAUAAUAUAUUGAACCGCAUGGUUCAAUAGUGAAAGACGGUUUUGCUGUCACUUAUAGAUGGAUCCGCGCCGCAUUAGCUAGUUGGUAAGGUAACGGCUUACCAAGGCAACGAUGCGUAGCCGACCUGAGAGGGUGAUCGGCCACACUGGAACUGAGGCACGGUCCAGACUCCUACGGGAGGCAGCAGUAGGGAAUCUUCCGCAAUGGGCGAAAGCCUGACGGAGCAACGCCGCGUGAGUGAUGAAGGUCUUCGGGUCGUAAAACUCUGUUAUUAGGGAAGAACAAAUGUGUAAGUAACUAUGCACGUCUUGACGGUACCUAAUCAGAAAGCCACGGCUAACUACGUG